UCGUCCACAGUUACUCCCCCCAGCGAAUGUCUGGUUUUUGGCAUCAGGAGGGAGAACAUUUGACAGAGCCAGAGAGUCUCAAAGCCCAUUCCUGAUGAAAUGGUUUUGCUUCUUUUCCUCUUGUGCUGUCGUUUUAAGUCUCAGGUUUCUAUCUGGGGAGCCUCUUGAAGCUAAGAAAUUCGACCGCCAACAGUGUCACCGCUGAGCUCCAUGACCAAGUGGUGGAAUCUGAAAGUCCAUCCAUAUCAAGCUUGUCGAAUGUUUAUUUUAGAUCACGCAACAAAGGAAAAUCCUUAGCUGUUUGGGUCUUGCAUGGCUAGACCUGGGGAAGCAGGAGAUUCCAAAUGUUCUCAUCUGACAAAGGCUUCUCGUGUAGGCCAUUUUGUUCAGGUGGAAAGUCACCCACCUUCUGUCUGUUUCACUUCUUCCCCCUUGUCAUGAGAAUCAGAGGUCUUGACUGUUGCUCAGUCAGCCCGUUGUCUGCUCUGGUCUCAGGAAUGGAGAAACAGGACUGGCUAGUUUUAGCUCCUCCUCCUUUUAUCCAAUGCCUCUACCCCACCUGUGCCUUGAAAUGCAGUGGAAGGAAUGUCUUAGCUGCUUCGUGGCUUUCUCCCUUUAUCUCACCACGUUAGCACCCGUUCCGUGCUAGGCUCUGGAUGCAGAGACAAAGAAGAGAGAGAAGGCCCAAGCCCUCCAUAACCUUUCAGUUUCCUCUCCCUAGGGGGGCUUCUUCUAGCUCAAGACAGUUUUCUGAGCUCACAAAGCUCCCCCCUUGGCUCUUCCUCUGUACAUCGGGUAGCACUGUGAACUCUUCCUGCCCCUUUAUUCAAUCAGCUCAAUAUGUUAUUAACCUGAAGAGUUUGUUUUGUCCAGCAGAACUGGAGAAUUGGAUGCAUACUACUAUAUUAGAUCAUUUAUAAAAAUAUUUAAGAAGGCCAAUGUCAGCAUAGCCUCUGGGGCUCUCUUGUUGCUCUCUGUCAUAUCUUCAAGACAAUUCACUUGACAUAGGUUAGGUAUAUAGUAUGUGUUCAAUACACUUCUUGUUGGUUCAUUGAUCCCCUUUCUUUGUCAGGCUAGUUCCCACAAUCCCAGGAUGACUCAUGUUUUAAUGCCCCCAGACUUGAGAUGUUGUCAGAAGGUUUUCGUGAGGCUGAAGAAACCACGUGAACUCGUUUCUUCUAAUUCCCAUGCUUGCCUUCUCAGAGGAGUUCUGUGGUCAGGAAGAUCUGAGUUCAUUGCCCUCUGCCUCAAUCCUUUCCUAUUCUCCCAUGGAUUUUGUUGUUUCCAUUGUUCAAUGAUCUUAAAAUUUUGAUUCUAAGACUCUGCGGGUCUCAGAAUGAAAUCAGGUGAUUUGUCUUUCUGGGUCUGGAAGCCAGCCAAACUCUGCCUUGCUUUGGUCAUUCUUAGCGACGUUUGAGUGUUUGCUCAGGAGUUGCCCAACUGUAUCCUUGAUGUACAUAUUUAUAAAUGGCAGCUCUUUUCUAGCAAUGUAAGGGGUAUCAUUAAUGCUCAUUCAUGCAAAUAUUAAAUGCCAGGCCCCCUUCUAGGUGCAAAGAGCAUGGGUCUCUAUGCUUAGGGAGCUUUCAUUCUAGAAAAAGAUAGGAUAAUACAUAAGGAAACAAGUAAACACAUUUAAAAAUGAGAAUUUCAGAUUGUGUUGAGGCCUCUGAAGCACAUAAUGAAGGUGAGGGGACAGGGACCUGGGAGGAGGAGGGAUAGAGGCCAGGAGGAGGAAGAGGCUGGUUUAGACAGCAUUUCCCCGCUGAGAGGUGACAUUGGACUGGAUAUAGCAUGAUGAAGAGGUCAACACACGACACACGAAGAUCUUGAAGGAGAAAGUUCUUGGCAGAGGAGACCUGGGCAUCGGGCCCCGAGGUGGGAUCAGCUUUAUUAAGAAUUCCUGGGUGAAUUUCAACUAGACACCAGUUCCGAUCAUAAUGUUGGAUGUGAAUAUUUUGAUAUAAGGGUUUUAACAGUGGCUGUUAUUUCUGAAUCACCCAGCAAUAGGCUAGAUGCUCUGUAACCAUUAGUGUUUGUUGCUAAAACAUCAGCCAAAUGAAGACAGGGCUAUUGAUCUGUUUUGUUCAGUGAUAUAGCUCCCAUGCACAUAGAAAGUGCUCAGUAAAUAUGUGUGACCUAAACAAAUCCUUACCGCAGUCCUGUAGUGGAAGUAGCCCCUCCUCUAGUGUAGAGAUGAGGCGACUGAGGCUCAGAGACAUUUAAGGAAAGCUGGGAUUUGAGCCUGCGUCUGUCAGCCUGGAAAACCAAUGCUUUUCCUCCUGUGCUCCGCCUCCCACGCUUGCCCUAGUACAUCCGACCCACUUGCUUCCCAAGUCUAAUCUUGUUAGCCUCCCUCUGAGUCAAGACUGAGGCCGGGAGUUAAUUUGGCUGUUCUGCUCAGCCCUGUUCAUCAGGGAGUGGUCCCUCAGCAGCCCAGUCAUGAGAGGGUCCCACUGAUUUCCAAGCUAACUUGCUGCCUUUGAUAUGGGCUCAGAUCUCUUCAAACAACCAGACCUCAGACUCUGACUGCCAAAGCCUGCCCUCUAAGAGGUUUUACAUAAAUCAUGGAAUCAGAGCACAGUUCAUGCUGUCAAAAUUCAGGCAAAUGUAAAAGAACAGGGAGGAAGGGAAAGGAAAUAACACGAAUUGAAUACUUGCUAUGUGACUCAUUUGUGGCUUUGUCCUUUAUGUACAGAACCUAAUUUAACAAUUAAUAAUUAUUACAGUAGAAUGGUAAUGAGAAUUGGCUUGAGGAUUGGAUAGAUCGGGAUUAAAUUCUAGGUGCUGGCACUUAGAAGCUGUAUGAUAUUAGGAAAGUUAUUUCAUCUCCGUGUUCCUUAGUUAGUUAUAAAAUAGGUCUAAUGUUACCUAUCCUAUAGGCUUCUUGUGAAGAUUAAUAAGAUAACACUGGUAAGUGCUUCCCCAAAGCCGGCAUUCAAUGAAUGCAACUUAUAAUAAAUCACUAUAUUUUAUUGAGUCUAAGAUGCUAUAUAUUAAGUACCAUCAUUUUGCAUACCACUAAGAAAGGACGCUGCCAAUUUAACUAUCAUGCACUAUCAAUUGUAAGAUACAUUCUGAUAUGUAUGGGAAAAGGUGCAUCUUAGAAUAGAUGAAAUAUGUGUAUGUUAUAGGUUGUAUAGCCCGCUAAUGGUGACACUACAUUGACAAAUUACUGACGCCCUUAAGGCAAAUCAUGGGCUAUUGUUUGUCAAGUGCUUUAGAAACUGAGUGCCAGCAUCUUUCUUUCUAGCCUCUCUUAAUUAUUCAUGACCUUCAGAAUCAAAAAGAUUUUCUGACAUCAAGUCAAGCUGUCCCACAACAAAUUCAGCCAGACUCUGCUUGUUUAUUCCACUCUGCCGACAAUAAACAAGUGGUUGGUGUUCUCAGAACCCUCCAUUUAUCCAGUUGUUAAGUUACAACUUAAAUGCUUUUUCUUUUUCAGUCUAAUUACAGUAUAAUCAUCUAGGCCUGCAAAACACCUCACCGAUAUAAUGUGGCUGAGUUCAAGGAAUUACGAGUUUUAAAAAGUUUGCCAUUCAUGCAUUCGUUCAUUCAUCCAGUAUGUUUAUGGAGAGCAUAACAUGUGCCUGGUCUUUUUUAAAUAUCGGGAUAGGAUUUUGUGCACUAGAUAAGGUGCCUGCUCUCACGGAAUUUGGGGGAAGACAGGUAAUACCUGAGUAACAAGAAAUACUAUUUCAGAUAGCAAUGAAGUUUAUGACAAAAAUAAAGCUUGAUAAUGCCAUAGAAAGUGACUGAUGCUGAGGGUAUUGCAGGUAGAACAGCAGGGAAGUUUCUUUGGAGAUGUUACCAUUGAAUGAAUGUUACCUGAAUGAUGCUGCGGGUGGAGGACGUGGGUGGAGGUGCAGAGGCCAGAGGCGGAUCUUGCAAACCCUCCUAAGGUAGAAAAGAGCUUGGAUUAUUUACAAAACAGAGCGGAGUGGAGCCUAUAAACGCAGGGGAAGCAGGGGAAGGAAAGCAGGGUUUAGGCAGGGGCUAGAUCACGGCGGCCAUUGACAAAGCGUUUCUUCUAAAUGUAAGGAGAAACCAGUGGAGAAGGGCAGGUUAUUAAAGCAAGGAGUGAUACGAUCUAAUUUGAUUUUUUUUUUUCCUGAAUUCUGUGGUGUAGCGUAGAGAGAACACUGUGGGGUGAGGCACAGGGGCAAGGAUUGAAGCAAGAUGACCCCACAGAGAUCCCGACCAUAUUUAAAAUGGCAGGGAUAAAAAUGGAGCCAUGGGGUUGGAUCAGGCAGAUUAAGGAGGGAGAAGUCUUGGCUGUGGAUUUGGGAGGUGAAGGAAAGAGAAAAAUGAAGUCUGUUUGGCAGUGAGCCACAGAAUGAAUGGUCAUGCUGAAACUGACAGCCCUAAUGGCCGGAACCCAGCCAGAACCCACAUUGGGACUUGAACCCAAAUGCUGGGACUCCAACCCCGCCAAAACCCAGGUUGGGAUUUAAGCCACAAUUUUCAGUUAGAAUCACUCACCCUGUGUCUGGACUCACUGAGGUUCAGGUUCUUCAUGCCUCUAUGCAGAAGGAAUUCAGUGAGAGACAUUGAGAGGCAAGAAAUAGAUUUAUUAAGAUAGGAUGCUUGUGAGAGAUGCAAGCGGGCAGGCAGGGAGGCUCUGCCCCGAGGAUGGGUGGGCUACAGUUUUAUCAUCCAGGGGGAGCGGGGGUGGGAAAAGCCUGCCUCUUCUUCUCUGGGAGUAGUGGCUCCUCCUUGGUAUCUGGUAUUCAAAUCAGUGGAACAGUGGUCCUUAAACUCCUGCUUUGGGUCUGGACCUGAACGCAGGCCUCAUCCCAUCGCCGACCCAAUGACCUGAGGCCAGUCUCACACCUCCACUAGUCUAGCAAGCCUGCCUUGUUCUGAUGGCUUUCUUGAGCAAUUAUUAACUUACAGUGCUCUCCAACGUCCCUCUCUAUCUGUGGUCCCUUUUAUUGGGACUUCUCCGACUACCUGUGCCUACUCCAUCCCAACAAUGCCUCUUGUUGAGGUAGAGAAGAGCCUACAGGAGCCCAUCAGGGAGACUUCUGAGGUUCAGGUCACCACCCAGAUAGUUGAACAAGUCCUAGUCUGGGUUUUGUCUGGAUUUGAGUCCCAGAACGUGAGUUCAAGUCCCAGUCUGGGUUCUAUCAGUCAUCCAGGUGGGGUGCACUGAGGAGUUCAGAGGAAGCAUCACGGUUAAAGGUGCACCUGUAGGAGAUUAUUUAAAACGCAGGUGAGGUUUUCUAGGAGAGACUGGAGAGAGAGUGAGGAAGACGUGUAGGGGAAGAGGAGAAGGAGCCAACACAAAAUGUUCAGGAUGCUGGUGUUGCUAUGAGAAAAUGGUAAGCUCCGCAGAUCAAUGAAGAGGAGAAAACCAAACAAAGGGUUAAAAACAUCGAGACUGCAGGGUGGUGGACCCCCUGGGGGUUGAGAGUCCAGUAGAGAGAGAGCGUUUUCCUGGGAACAGUAUUGAUGUUGAUCAAAGGAGCAGCUGCCUUUCAUUUUACAGACACUGAAACACAGAAAGGUUAAGUGUCUUGACCAAGGUGACAGAGCUACGAAGUGACAGAGCUGGGAUUUGAACUCAAAGAUCUUGGCUCCACCAUCUGGAUGCUUAACCACCCUAUGACACGGCCUCUAAAUGGGAUCCUAAAAAGAGUUUAAAAUAAAUGAAGGGGGAAAAAAAGAAUCUUUUGUAUCCAAGGAACAGCAGCGGGAUGGAUGCUGAAGGACGGGCUUGGUGACAAGACAUUUUGGUCAGCUUCACCUCUGGAGUGACAGUGCCAUUUUUAAAGAGGCCAGAAACGGUCAUAAUGAAAAUAAAUGUUGUUCGAAUGGGGGAGUAAGCAGAGUUUAUUUUCUCCCUUUCCUUUUUCAGGUAGUUCUGAGCAAUAAAGGCCCCCGACCACUAUUCAUAUCUGAUUAAACAAAAGUAAGAAAAAAAAAAAGGCAGAGAAAAGACCUCAGGAGCAGGUGGCAAGCUUAAUCUUUGGUAUUUAGAAUGAUGAAGAGAAGCAAUAUGUGAAAUCCACUUAAAAUAUGAUUUCAUGUUCUAAUAUACAUUUUGAAUUUAUGGGGAACUGACUUCUGCCAUUUAUUCAG
Molecule: long non-coding RNA, 6081 nt
Filed under: Sus scrofa (pig)
Lineage: Eukaryota; Metazoa; Chordata; Mammalia; Artiodactyla; Suidae
Description: lncRNA (ENSSSCG00000047254.2)
Source: RNAcentral